Molecule: transfer RNA, 127 nt
Filed under: Deinococcus yavapaiensis KR-236
Lineage: Bacteria; Thermotogati; Deinococcota; Deinococci; Deinococcales; Deinococcaceae
Rfam family: tRNA
About the family: Transfer RNA (tRNA) molecules are approximately 80 nucleotides in length. Their secondary structure includes four short double-helical elements and three loops (D, anti-codon, and T loops).
Source: Rfam by way of RNAcentral
GGAACGGUGGCUCAGCGGGAGAGCGUACGACCGCUUCGGCGGCUCCUCGGCUUCACUCGCCCGUUCGGGCCGACGUUCGAGGGUGAUCGGGAUCGUAAGGUCGUGGGUUCGAAUCCCACCCGUUCCC